CUUGUUUAGGCUUCUUAAACAUCUAUGCUCUCCUUCUCAGCAGUGACCUUCUGGGUUUGACCUAAACACUUCUUCAUUCACCUUGAAUUUCUCAGGGUCUCCGUUGACUUACCCGUGGGCCGGGACAAGUGGCGCCCAACGUGGGGCCCAAGAACGGGGGAUCCAGUGAAGAACGCUGCUUGGGGCCCCAAUAAAAUAGAAGAGGCAAAUAAAAUAGAAAAAAGAGGAUUGCGUUUGACGUGAACCUGCCGUCUUUCCUGCACCUCGGGUGCAGGUAUUCUUCUCUACUCCAAGGACUCAAAUGAACGACUGGAGGUAUUUCAGAGCAGAAGCUUUAAGGAUGGACACAUGGCUCUCCACAGCUCUUAUCCCUCUGCUGGUACGCUGGCAAAAUUCCCCACAGAGCCUGUCUUGCAGCCUGAGCCAGAGAGAGAGAAAGAAUAUGGAACCACAGCCAGCCUCUGCAGACCUGCAGUGGGACCAAGACGCAAACCUUUGGGCUCUCAGCCAGACUUGCAAACACUUCUGAAAAGGGCCAGAGAGGAAAUACUGUACGGGUUACAAGCCAUGUGGUCUCUGUCAGAACUACUCAACUGUGCCUCUGUGUCAGGAAAGCAACCACAGGCAGCAAGAUGGGACCAGGAAUACACAUUCCUAAGAUGUUUUCAAGUGAGGCUGAUUUUACAGACCCGGAGACCAAAUACCCUGACCUCUCUUGAUUGAUACAUCAUCUGCAAAGGGAGGUUGCCUCGCAGGGUUGUGGUCCCAGUUAAAUGAGAUAGUGUGACAUGAUUAGGACACUCUGUAAGUUCUCAGCAAAAGUUGGCCAACACUGUGGUGUGAGUCAUCACACACAUGCAUAUAUGUAACACAAUUCUCUUGCUGUUAGAAAUAAA
Molecule: long non-coding RNA, 896 nt
Filed under: Heterocephalus glaber (naked mole-rat)
Lineage: Eukaryota; Metazoa; Chordata; Mammalia; Rodentia; Bathyergidae
Description: lncRNA (ENSHGLG00100033108.1)
Source: RNAcentral